This 215-nucleotide long non-coding RNA is filed under the name Eucalyptus grandis. Its description in RNAcentral is "long non-coding RNA (EGRA_LNC005088)". The record is from RNAcentral. Lineage: Eukaryota; Viridiplantae; Streptophyta; Magnoliopsida; Myrtales; Myrtaceae.
GGAUAGAAAAGCAGGAAGCAAAACCACAACAUAACACUUUCAUAAUUCAACAGAAUUACAAACAGAGGUCUACGGCCAAAAGUCUACAAAAGACCGGCUCUUAAAAAGGAAUUGUCCUACGACCUACAAGUCGGACACGUUCUCCAAUCUUAUGACUUCACCUCUGCAACUCCUCAAGGCCUACCAAAGCUAUCUGGCCACUCCGUCCAUCAAGG